RNAcentral lists this ribosomal RNA (253 nucleotides) under uncultured bacterium. Its description in RNAcentral is "partial 16S ribosomal RNA". It matches the Rfam family "Bacterial small subunit ribosomal RNA", at positions 524 to 776 of the family's 1533-position model. The record is from RNAcentral.
UACAGGGGGGGCAAGCGUUGUUCGGAAUUACUGGGCGUAAAGCGCACGUAGGCGGCUUGUUAAGUCAGGGGUGAAAUCCUGGAGCUCAACUCCAGAACUGCCUUUGAUACUGGCAAUCUAGAGUCCGGAAGAGGUGAGUGGAACUCCUAGUGUAGAGGUGGAAUUCGUAGAUAUUAGGAAGAACACCAGUGGCGAAGGCGGCUCACUGGGCCGUUACUGACGCUGAGGUGCGAAAGCGUGGGGAGCAAACAGG